GCGCCUGUAGCUCAGUGGAUAGAGCGUCUGCCUCCGGAGCAGAAGGUCGGGGGUUCGAAUCCCUUCAGGCGCAC
This 74-nucleotide transfer RNA is filed under the name Promicromonospora citrea. RNAcentral describes it as "tRNA-Arg". It matches the Rfam family "tRNA". From Rfam's summary of the family: Transfer RNA (tRNA) molecules are approximately 80 nucleotides in length. RNAcentral also lists the same sequence under 1 other name. The record is from RNAcentral. Lineage: Bacteria; Bacillati; Actinomycetota; Actinomycetes; Micrococcales; Promicromonosporaceae.